UUCUCUUUUCCGAACAUGUGUUUUAUCAAUGAUCAAUGCUGCCACUGCACAAACAAUACAUUCGCUGAUUUUGUGAAGUUUAAUUUUAGUGUUUGUUUUGAUGUUGACGGAAUUAUAAGUCGUGCAAGAAUCUUGCGGACGUUACAUAUUAGAGAAGGAUCCUUGGAUUCGGAUUUUUCUUCAGAAAAUUUUCUUGGAUCGACGACGAAUCUGAGGCACAUCUUUUCUGUAAUUCACAUUGGAUCAUCUAAUGAAAUUGAUAGACUCAACGGGUUACAACUGAAUACAAUCCAACAGUUAACUUCACCACAAUUUGUUCAACCAAAAAACGAUUCUAGUCAAUAUGGGAUCGUUGAUACGUAAAAUAAUUCCCUACGUCAAUUUCCUAGUUUCAUCAUCCGCCCUGUGUUUUCAAUUUUUCGUACUAUAUCCGUGGCACAACGAACUGGAUAAGGAUUUUCGAAAGAUGCAAGAGGAUCAACAUGUUACUCUCGAAGAGUACCAUCAGAAGAAGAUCAAACGGCUUGAAGAGAUCGAACAGAAUAUUUUACGUCUGGAGGCUUACCAUCAUCAAAACGAUGCGCCUAAGAAAAAGUGAUUUGUGCAUUCUAUGAAUGGUUUCCAAUAGAAAACCACUUACUGAGUCGACUAAAAUCCAUGUUUUCAACGUUUUAGUUUAGCAGUAUUACCUCAACGAAUCCAAUCACACGGUAUGUUGUAAGACAUUAAGUAGUGAUCAGCUUUUAUCCGUUAGUACCAACAAAUGUGGCAUUGGAUUCGUGAAAAAAAUUAAAAAAUUCGUGGAAAUAAUCUCUUUUGUUCGGUUACGACGUAAUUAUUUAUUGAAAGUACAAUUUAAUGUUACAAAUUAAAAACAACAAAAAAAUUAAAAUUAGAAAA
Molecule: long non-coding RNA, 900 nt
Organism: Bradysia coprophila
Lineage: Eukaryota; Metazoa; Arthropoda; Insecta; Diptera; Sciaridae
Source: RefSeq, a predicted model, not a curated record